RNAcentral lists this ribosomal RNA (253 nucleotides) under uncultured bacterium. RNAcentral describes it as "partial 16S ribosomal RNA". It matches the Rfam family "Bacterial small subunit ribosomal RNA", at positions 524 to 776 of the family's 1533-position model. The record is from RNAcentral.
UACAGAGGGGGCAAGCGUUGUUCGGAAUUACUGGGCGUAAAGGGCGCGUAGGCGGCCUUCUAAGUCGAACGUGAAAUCCCCGGGCUCAACCCGGGAACUGCGUCCGAGACUGGGAGGCUUGAAUCCGGGAGAGGGAUGUGGAAUUCCAGGUGUAGCGGUGAAAUGCGUAGAUAUCUGGAGGAACAUCGGUGGCGAAGGCGGCAUCCUAGACCGGUAUUGACGCUGAGGCGCGAAAGCCAGGGGAGCAAACGGG